GAUCUAUUCUGACACUACUUCAUAUACUAAAAUUGGAAUGAUACUGAGAAGAUUAGCAUGACCUCUGUGCAAGGAUGACACGUGGAUUUAUGAAACAUUCCUUAUCAUU
This is a small nuclear RNA of Myodes glareolus (Bank vole), 109 nucleotides long. The record is from RefSeq and is a predicted model, not a curated record. NCBI's taxonomy places the organism in Eukaryota, Metazoa, Chordata, Mammalia, Rodentia, Cricetidae.